UGUAAUUAAGGAUUAGCAUUGUGUAUUAUUCUAUUUUAACUUAUUGACAUGGACUAUUGACGGACGAAUUCUCAUAUCAUGUUUUGGUUAAGUCUGAUUUCACUGUAGUUAGUACUUUAUUUUCACGGUUGAUUUGAGCGCUAUCGUACAUUUCUUCUAUUGGUCAGUACUUUUGGCGGUUUAAUUCCUUUGUUCUAGAUCUUAUGGGAAGACAUCUUGUGGGCAACACCUAUAUAUUUACCUGUCUGCAAUUUAACAACUUAAAGAAAUUAAUAUCUAAAAUAACAAUUCUGUGAUUGGAAAGUUUCUUAUAUAAGGUAUAUUUAAACCUUACCAAAGAUGUAGUGUUUGUUUAUAUAAUGGUUUAUAUGGAAAUGUGCCACUUGCACGAUAUGUGAGG
This is a long non-coding RNA of Mytilus californianus (California mussel), 400 nucleotides long. RefSeq lists it as uncharacterized. The transcript has 2 exons. The record is from RefSeq and is a predicted model, not a curated record. NCBI's taxonomy places the organism in Eukaryota, Metazoa, Mollusca, Bivalvia, Mytilida, Mytilidae.